CUCUCCGUAGCUCAGCUGGUAGAGCAGCUGACUCUUAAUCAGCGGGUCGCAGGUUCGAAUCCUGUCGGGGAGAC
This 74-nucleotide transfer RNA is filed under the name Bacteroidetes bacterium ADurb.Bin035. Its description in RNAcentral is "tRNA-Lys". It matches the Rfam family "tRNA". Rfam says of the family: Transfer RNA (tRNA) molecules are approximately 80 nucleotides in length. Their secondary structure includes four short double-helical elements and three loops (D, anti-codon, and T loops). The record is from RNAcentral. Lineage: Bacteria; Pseudomonadati; Bacteroidota.